This 307-nucleotide ribosomal RNA is filed under the name Typhlops jamaicensis. RNAcentral describes it as "partial 12S ribosomal RNA". It matches the Rfam family "Bacterial small subunit ribosomal RNA", at positions 866 to 1341 of the family's 1533-position model. The record is from RNAcentral. Lineage: Eukaryota; Metazoa; Chordata; Lepidosauria; Squamata; Typhlopidae.
GGCCCGCCAGAUUAUUACAAGUAAAAACUUAAAACUCAAAGGACUUGACGGUGUCCCACACACAACCUAGAGGAGCCUGUCCUAUAAUCGAUGAUCCACGAAGGACCUUACCACCUUUCGCCCAACAACCUAUAUACCGCCGUCGAAAGUUCACCUUAUGAAAGAAAAAAAGUGAACACAAUAGCUCAACACUAAAACGUCAGGUCAAGGUGUAGUUAAUGGGGUGGCUAGAGAUGGGCUACAUUUCCUAUUAAAGGAAAAACGAACGGUAAGAUGAAAACUAACCAGAAGGAGGAUUUAGUAGUAA